UACAGCAUCCUGCUCUCGGCAGCAGAGGCGAUGCUCAAAUUGAACUGGGCACAAAAGUGGAUGUGGCUCAAUUCCGAGUGGUAUGAUGACAAGGAAGUUUGCAUUUGUCAAUACUCAGGAGGGCAUGACACCAGGAAGAUCAUGAGAGGUUUUCUGGAGUUCCGACCAGCCCACACCGUGCUGGUGGCAAGCUUGUAUGAUGGUUGCAAAUGUUGGUUUAGUGGCCCAUCAUGUGGAUCACAAUCCUGGCCAUUAGACUGCUGCACGUUUCUCCCAUUGGAUUUUGGACCCUUGUUCAUAUUAUUGCUCAACUGUGGAUUAACAAUCCAUUUAUACCACAGUGAUCCAGUGACUACCAUAAUCUCAUUGCCCCAACUCAUGUACAAUGCCGCAUACCAGAUUGGUUGAUGUUGUUUUUUCAGUCACUGGGAAUUCAAUGAAGUGUGCACAUCUUAGUAACA
This is a long non-coding RNA of Magnolia sinica, 461 nucleotides long. RefSeq lists it as uncharacterized. Lineage: Eukaryota; Viridiplantae; Streptophyta; Magnoliopsida; Magnoliales; Magnoliaceae. The transcript is spliced from 2 exons. The record is from RefSeq and is a predicted model, not a curated record.